AUUGAACGCUGGCGGCAUGCCUUACACAUGCAAGUCGAACGGUAACAGGGCUUCGGAUGCUGACGAUUGGCGAACGGGAGGGUAAUACAUCGGAACGUGCCCGACCGUGGAGAGUAAGGGAGCUCAACCUUUGCUAAUACAGCAUACCAUAUAAGCAUGAAAACAGGUCACCGCAAGGCUUUACCGGGACGGGUCGGCCGUGGGCAGAUUAGGGAGUUGGUGGGAUGCAAGCUUACCAAGCCGAAGGUCUGUAGCUGAUCUGAGAGGACGAACAGCCACACUGGGACUGAGACACGGCCCAGACUCCUACGGGAGGCAGCAGUAGGGAAUUUUGGACAAUGGGCGAAAGCCUGAUCCAGCCAUGCCGCGUGCAGGAUGAAGGCCUUCGGGUUGUAAACUGCUUUUGUACGGAACGAAAAGACUCUUUCUAAUAAAGAGGGUACAUGACGGUACCGUAAGAAUAAGCACCGGCUAACUACGUG
Molecule: ribosomal RNA, 482 nt
Filed under: uncultured bacterium
Lineage: Bacteria
Description: partial 16S ribosomal RNA
Rfam family: Bacterial small subunit ribosomal RNA
Source: RNAcentral